ACCUAAGAGAUUAGGUGUUCCCUUCGGGGACAGAAUGACAGGUGGUGCAUGGUUGUCGUCAGCUCGUGUCGUGAGAUGUUGGGUUAAGUCCCGCAACGAGCGCAACCCUUAUUGUCAGUUGCCAGCAUUAAGUUGGGCACUCUGGCAAGACUGCCGGUGACAAACCGGAGGAAGGUGGGGAUGACGUCAAAUCAUCAUGCCCCUUAUGACCUGGGCUACACACGUGCUACAAUGGACGAUACAACGAGUCGCUAGACCGCGAGGUUAAGCUAAUCUCUGAAAGUCGUUCUCAGUUCGGAUUGCAGGCUGCAACUCGCCUGCAUGAAGUCGGAAUCGCUAGUAAUCGCGGAUCAGCAUGCCGCGGUGAAUACGUUCCCGGGUCUUGUACACACCGA
Molecule: ribosomal RNA, 395 nt
Filed under: uncultured bacterium
Lineage: Bacteria
Description: bacterial SSU rRNA
Rfam family: Bacterial small subunit ribosomal RNA
Source: RNAcentral